This 278-nucleotide unclassified non-coding RNA is filed under the name fungal sp. RNAcentral describes it as "partial internal transcribed spacer region". The stretch from base 1 to 46 matches the Rfam family "Eukaryotic small subunit ribosomal RNA", at positions 1786 to 1831 of the family's 1831-position model. Lineage: Eukaryota; Fungi. The record is from RNAcentral.
AAGUCGUAACAAGGUAACCGUAGGUGAACCUGCGGUUGGAUCAUUAGUGGUUUUUACGUAGCGCUGUUGUAGUGUUUCUGUGGUGUUUGGGGUUGGUCUUUGCGUUUGUUGUUGGUUGUUUGUCUGUUUUUGUGCAUUGCCUUGUGCGUGCCUGGCAGUACAAACGAUCGACGGCAACACUCGGACCAGACCCAAGCCCUUGCAGACAAUAGACGUCUUUGCUUGCUUUGAUGAAACCAAAUCAAAAACAACUUUUGACAACGGAUCUCUUGGCUCUC